UGGGGAAUUUUGGACAAUGGGCGCAAGCCUGAUCCAGCAAUGCCGCGUGCAGGAUGAAGGCCUUCGGGUUGUAAACUGCUUUUGUACGGAACGAAACGGUCCUUUCUAAUACAGGGGGCUAAUGACGGUACCGUAAGAAUAAGCACCGGCUAACUACGUGCCAGCAGCCGCGGUAAUACGUAGGGUGCGAGCGUUAAUCGGAAUUACUGGGCGUAAAGCGUGCGCAGGCGGUUAUGUAAGACAGAUGUGAAAUCCCCGGGCUCAACCUGGGACCUGCAUUUGUGACUGCAUAGCUAGAGUACGGUAGAGGGGGAUGGAAUUCCGCGUGUAGCAGUGAAAUGCGUAGAUAUGCGGAGGAACACCGAUGGCGAAGGCAAUCCCCUGGACCUGUACUGACGCUCAUGCACGAAAGCGUGGGGAGCAAACA
RNAcentral lists this ribosomal RNA (427 nucleotides) under uncultured Comamonadaceae bacterium. Its description in RNAcentral is "partial 16S ribosomal RNA". It matches the Rfam family "Bacterial small subunit ribosomal RNA", at positions 355 to 774 of the family's 1533-position model. The record is from RNAcentral. Lineage: Bacteria; Pseudomonadati; Pseudomonadota; Betaproteobacteria; Burkholderiales; Comamonadaceae.